This 72-nucleotide transfer RNA is filed under the name Pseudomonadota bacterium. RNAcentral's name for it is "tRNA-Thr". It matches the Rfam family "tRNA". From Rfam's summary of the family: Transfer RNA (tRNA) molecules are approximately 80 nucleotides in length. Their secondary structure includes four short double-helical elements and three loops (D, anti-codon, and T loops). Lineage: Bacteria; Pseudomonadati; Pseudomonadota. The record is from RNAcentral. RNAcentral also lists the same sequence under 4 other names.
GCCUGGAUAGUUUAGUGGUAAAACAAACCCUUGGUAAGGGUUAGAGUGCGGGUUCGAUUCCCGCUCCAGGCU